AGUGAACGCUGGCGGUAGGCCUAACACAUGCAAGUCGAACGGCAGCACAGUAAGAGCUUGCUCUUACGGGUGGCGAGUGGCGGACGGGUGAGGAAUACAUCGGCAUCUACUUUUUCGUGGGGGAUAACGUAGGGAAACUUACGCUAAUACCGCAUACGACCUACGGGUGAAAGCAGGGGAUCUUCGGACCUUGCGCGAUUGAAUGAGCCGAUGUCGGAUUAGCUAGUUGGCGGGGUAAAGGCCCACCAAGGCGACGAUCCGUAGCUGGUCUGAGAGGAUGGUCAGCCAAAAUGGAACUGAGACACGGUCCAGCCUCCUACGGGAGGCAGCAGUGGGGAAUAUUGGACAAGGGGCGCAAGCCUGAUCCAGCAAUACGGCGUGGGUGAAGAAGGCCUUCGGGUGGUAAAGCCCUUUUGUUGGGAAAGAAAAGCAGCAGGGUAAUACCCCGCUGUUCUGACGGUACCCAAAGAAUAAGCACCGGCUAACUUCGUG
Molecule: ribosomal RNA, 492 nt
Filed under: uncultured bacterium
Lineage: Bacteria
Description: partial 16S ribosomal RNA
Rfam family: Bacterial small subunit ribosomal RNA
Source: RNAcentral